Molecule: non-coding RNA, 72 nt
Organism: Olea europaea var. sylvestris
Lineage: Eukaryota; Viridiplantae; Streptophyta; Magnoliopsida; Lamiales; Oleaceae
Source: the annotation of a RefSeq genome assembly
UCUUCAAUAGCUCAAUGGUAGAGCGGCCGGCUAUUAACCAAUUGAUCGUAAGUUCGAAUCCUACUUGGGGAG